RNAcentral lists this ribosomal RNA (448 nucleotides) under uncultured bacterium. RNAcentral's name for it is "bacterial SSU rRNA". It matches the Rfam family "Bacterial small subunit ribosomal RNA", at positions 29 to 506 of the family's 1533-position model. The record is from RNAcentral.
ACGAACGUUGGCGGCGUGGAUUAGGCAUGCAAGUCGGGGGAAUCCCCAGCAAUGGGGGGAACCGGCGUAAGGGGCAGUAGGGCGUGGGUACCCGCCCCGGGGUCCGGGAUAGCCCUUCGAGAGAAGGGGUAAUACCGGAUGACCUCGGGAGAGCAAAGGCUUGCCGCCCCGGGAGGGGCCCACGUGGUAUUAGCUAGUUGGUGGGGUGACGGCCCACCAAGGCGACGAUGCCUAGCGGGUGUGGGAGCACGACCCGCGCCACUGGGACUGAGACACUGGCCAGACACCUACGGGUGGCUGCAGUCGAGGAUCUUCGGCAAUGGGCGCAAGCCCGACCGAGCGACGCCGCGUGUGCGACGAAGGCCUUCGGGUUGUAAAGCACUGUCGAGGGGGAGAAAAGCCCGCAAGGGUUUGAUCCAUCCCUGGAGGAAGCACGGGCUAAGUUCGU